Non-coding RNA from Salvelinus sp. IW2-2015, 365 nucleotides. The record is from RefSeq and is a predicted model, not a curated record. Lineage: Eukaryota; Metazoa; Chordata; Actinopteri; Salmoniformes; Salmonidae.
UUAUCUAAUCAAGAUACUGUGUAUUUGUGUUUAAUUUUUGAUGUGGAAUAAGUCAAGUGAAUACUUUCUGAAGGAACAUGUUCUGCUGCCUUAGUUUUCAUACUGUUUUGCACUUCACUUCUUCAGCCGCUGUGAGGCAUCUCCUCUCCGGCUUGUUUUUUAGUUGGCCUUAACCCAGGGUAGGUUUCCAGUUGGCCUUAACGCAGGCUAGAUCUUUUAGUUGGCGCUUAACCCAGGGUAGGUUUCCAGUUGGCCUUAACACAGGGUAGGGUUUAGUUAGUCCUUAAACCAGGGUAGGUUUCCAGUUGGCCUUAACACGGGGUAGGUUUCCAGUUGGCCUUAACACGGGGUAGGUUUCCAGUUGG